AAAAUGAAAUAAAUAGUGUAUAGUUUUAGAAGUAACAGAUUUUAUAUUAUCAUUAAUUAGAAUUGUAUUGUAUAUGUUUCGUAAUUCUUUAUUUUAGGUGAAUAAUAUAAUUUUUCCAUAAAUAAUAAACAAAAUUUAUAAAGACAUAUUAAAAUAAAAUAUAAAAAAAUCAAAAUAUUAUCCAUAAAUAAUAUUGUAUAUGUGUCGUAAUUCUUUAUUUUAGGUGGAAUAAUAUAAUUUUUACAUAAAUAAUAAACAAACAUUUAUGUAGACAUAUUAAAAGAAAAUAUAAAAAAAAAUCAAAAUAUUAUCCAUAAAUAAUAUAAAUUAUGAAGUACAUUUCUCGAUAAAGAAAACAAAUUCAAUUAGAAACCUGCAAAAAAUUAAAUAAAUUUUGUAAGCAAUUUGACGGGUUACCAUUAUUUGAUAGAUUUAUAAAUUUCUAAAUUUUAUUGAACAUGAAAUAAUAUUAAAUUGACAUACCGUCAUCGGUCUCCUAACUCAUCACAACCCAUCUGGCAAAUACAAAAAAAAAAAAUUGUAACAGUUUAUAUAUUUUAAAAUUUGUAUUUGAAAAAAAAAAGUAUAUUAAAAUUACGUACUGUGACUACGAAAUAUUCUGAAAAACUUGUUUGUAGACAACAUUCAAUGUUUUUGUCUGCAGCUUCCCUUCUUUACCAGUUAUUAGGAUUUUUAAUCCAG
Molecule: long non-coding RNA, 702 nt
Filed under: Brassica rapa (field mustard)
Lineage: Eukaryota; Viridiplantae; Streptophyta; Magnoliopsida; Brassicales; Brassicaceae
Description: long non-coding RNA (BRAP_LNC001358)
Source: RNAcentral